AUGAAUGGUCGUCUAUGGCCUUCGACACUUCAAAACUGUGGAGGUAGAGUGUGCUUCGGCGCUUCGGCGCCGCCUUUUAUGCUUGUAGAGUCUGUGUCUGAGCCUAAAACAUAGUCUA
Molecule: unclassified non-coding RNA, 118 nt
Filed under: uncultured Ascomycota
Lineage: Eukaryota; Fungi; Ascomycota
Description: sequence contains ITS1
Source: RNAcentral